UCUUUUUUUCUUUGAUUAGAUUCGCCUCUUAGAUUGAUUAUCUUGUAGAGUUUUUGAUAUCUAUGGGAUGUUUUACUAGGGUCGCGAUAAAUUUUAGCAAGGGCGCUGAGUCGCUUUGCCUAUGUAAAAUCAGGCGUAGCGAAUAAGCUCCUGCUAGAUUUUAUAUCUAUUCGUUCUUCUUUUUUUUUUUUUUUGCAUGUUUCUUUAAGGAUCCAAUGAUGGCAUGAAAUCUUUGAGACCUGAUUUUUAUUGAUGAAACGCUAUAAGCAUUUUGACUCUGAGGAUCCUUAAUAUUUUUUUACACAUUUGUUUUCAUGUUAAUAAUCCUAAUUAGAAAAGGUGAUGAAUAUGCACUGGGCUCUGAGUUGUUGAUUGACAUUCAACUUCUUUUUGAUGCAUAACGCAGCCUAGAAAGCUUAAUCUGAUUUUCAAUUUUUUCAUUAUAUAUUCGUCCGUUUUUCUUUCUUUUUGUGUGUUUCUUGGUUAAACAUAGUUAUUAUUUCUAUGAUCAGAGAUAUGCUUAUCACAUUUGUACUGGACCUCGGUGCAAGUAGACAAUUUGCUAGAGAGACAAGUUACUCUAGAAACUUACAGAGCGGUGAUGGUUAUGUACAAUCUCAACUGCUUCUUUGUUGUUCAAAUGUUCCCAAAGACCAUCAGAUGCAAAAAUGAGGAACGAAUCAUUGGGGUGCAGAGGAUGACAUAGUAUGGUUGGGGUUGCAUUGCAGACAUCAACGGUCUUUCCACUGGCUCUGCAAGUCUGAACUUAUGACCCCUUGAUUAUAUCAAUUACCCCUUAACUAUAACGACGCUUGAUUAUAUCAAUUACCCCUUAACUAUAACGACGCUUGAUUAUAUCAAUGUCCCCUAUCUUGUUAUGUCUACGUAAAGCUACUGCAGAUAAUAUCAUGGUUUAAAAAGUAGCUUAACAAGAGCUCAUUCUAUAGUUAUCAAUAGCACGCAUUAAACAUCCUUAUGAUUUUUUUUUGUUAUUUAGCUUACAUGAUACUUGUUUUAUUAUUAUCUGAAUGUUAUUAUAUGUGUCAUUAACAAUAAGAAUUAUACACAGAGAAAUCAAAGCUUCAUUAAUUUUUUUUUAGCAUUCCAAGGAAAACAAACAUCAUAACAUUCCAUUGUUUUUGUUAAGUUUGCAAGGUCCAUUUUUUCGUAUCUUCCAUUCACAUUGUCUGCAACCAAAUUUCUCAAACUCUCUAUCUCUCUUUUGUUUAUAAAUAUCAAAAUGAUGCCACUCGUUCCCCCAACUAAACCUGCAAAAGAAUAAAGUACGGCCAAAGACAUCAGGUUUAAAGUCAAAUGGCCAUUAUCCAUCUGGUGCCAACCUCCGGUCUCCAAGUUUCUUAUUCCCCGAUUUACAAUUAAACCAUAGCAACAAACCCCCUCCAAUAUCAUUAUGAAUCGUCACUUUCCUCUUCUGUGCUUGAGUUAUGGUUCCAGUACUCAGGACCGUCUUAAACUAUUUUAUAGCCUUGGGCGAAAUUUGAAAUAUGGACUCUUUCUAUAAAACAUUUCUUCAUUCCAUUGCCUUGAUUAUGAUCAAUUCUUUGAUGAGUAUCGUGCCCACUCAUUUUUAUGACCUGAAACAAUAAACUAUAAGAGAGUAAAAGAUAUAGAUGUAAUCAAUUAAACAAACCUCUACUUUGAAAUGGGAUCUCACUAACUGAUCAAUGAAUAGAAUAUAUUCUUGUUUUGUGUUUUUGUAGGUUAAUUAGGUUUAGCUGAUUAUGGGCCUUUUAUUAUAGGUUUAUAAAACUAUUUGGUCUUUUAACAAACUAAAAUGAACUUUUUACAAUUAGUCAAAUUACAUUAAAUUUUUUUUUGGACCCUUGGGCCCAGGGCCAUUGCCCCCACUUGCCAUAGUCCAAAGCCGGGACUGGCAGUACUUAUUAUGGACAUGGUCAAGAGAACAAUGAGGUGUUUUGGAUAAUCCAUUGUUCCUGACUUCCUUCUCUUUGUUUUUUUCUUCAAUUUUUUCUUCUGUAUUAUUCCUGCCAUAGUUUCUUUAUAUUAACCUUUUUCUGUUAACCAGUUUGGUAUAGCUCUCGUUGUUUAGUAACUAAUGAUGAAUUUGUGAAACAAUAUAUAUCAAGUUAUCAACAAACAAUAUAUAUCAACAAUAUGCUUCACACUAUGUUUCUUUUUAACACAGUAUAACAUAUUUUAUUGUUAUAAAUAUACGUCAAUCUACCUUGUCACACACGCUUCUAACUACUCCAUUAUUCCCGGUUAACACUUUGUAAGAAGACAAUUUAACAAACGCGGAAGAGAAGGCGUUGAAGAAACGGUCCUGAUCAGCCGCAAACGCUUCGACAAACGGGCGUGUGCGUGGGUCCACUCCAAUCUCCGAGUCAAUUCUCAGAUUACCACGUCCCGCGAUGGAAUCAUCGUAAUAAGCUGUGUCGAAGAUCAACGAAGUCUGGUCGUUGGGAACAAACGUAGCUUCCGCUGUUUUGGAUGUCGGAGAAAACUCUGGGCAAACAACUCGCAAAAACGUUUGAAAACGUGGAUCCAUGUU
Brassica rapa (field mustard) is the source of this 2533-nucleotide long non-coding RNA. RefSeq lists it as uncharacterized. NCBI's taxonomy places the organism in Eukaryota, Viridiplantae, Streptophyta, Magnoliopsida, Brassicales, Brassicaceae. The record is from RefSeq and is a predicted model, not a curated record.